Molecule: ribosomal RNA, 404 nt
Filed under: uncultured bacterium
Lineage: Bacteria
Description: bacterial SSU rRNA
Rfam family: Bacterial small subunit ribosomal RNA
Source: RNAcentral
AAUGGGCGGGAGCCUGAACCAGCCAAGUCGCGUGAGGGAAGAAGGAUCUAUGGUUCGUAAACUUCUUUUGCAGGGGAAUAAAGUGCAGGACGUGUCCUGUUUUGUAUGUACCCUGAGAAUAAGGAUCGGCUAACUCCGUGCCAGCAGCCGCGGUAAUACGGAGGAUCCGAGCGUUAUCCGGAUUUAUUGGGUUUAAAGGGUGCGUAGGUGGUUUGAUAAGUCAGCGGUUAAAGUUUGCAGGUUAACUGUAAAAAUGCCGUUGAAACUGUCGGACUUGAGUGUAAAUGAGGUAGGCGGAUGCGUGGUGUAGCGGUGAAAUGCAUAGAUAUCACACAGAACCCCGAUUGCGAAGGCAGCUUACCGGGCUACAUCUGACGCUGAUGCACGAAAGCGUGGGGAUCAAA